UACUACUGCAUGGUCGACGGUGCUGCC
RNAcentral lists this small RNA (27 nucleotides) under Bombyx mori (domestic silkworm). RNAcentral describes it as "ovarian small RNA-1875". Lineage: Eukaryota; Metazoa; Arthropoda; Insecta; Lepidoptera; Bombycidae. The record is from RNAcentral.